GUGGGGGGGAAACGCCUCGAUUUUAUUCGUGACGGCCGUGUCCAUCUUAGUUUUCUUGGCUAUUAAUUCGGUUGGCUAUUUUGGAUGAGUCUAUAUUAUGCAGUAAUUUUUUAAGGUGAAGUUAAGACAUGGUGGAAGUACCUACUCUUGUUAAUGUGUCAACUGUCAGUCAACUGUCAGUUGACACGUCUAAGUACUCUUCUUGGCGUGUCAACUGUCAGUUGAAAGAAGAAUACUUCGACCACUCCACUGAAGAUGACUGCCGCAGUUGCAGUUGAAACGUUUGGAUUUCAACCAAAGAAGACCACGGCAAAACCCGGAAGCCAAUCAAAACAUUGACGCCAUCCGUGAAAACCAACAUUCCUGUACAAAUAAAAUAACUUAAUAUCCAAUUACGGAGUAUUCAAUGUUACAAUCGAUACACAUUGGAUAUAUUCCACCGUUAUAUCGUUAAACAAAUAUGUAUAAGAAAAAUUGUGACUGCAAAUACGAAAAUAAAGUCAUUAUCUCUCAA
Long non-coding RNA from Leptinotarsa decemlineata (Colorado potato beetle), 514 nucleotides. The record is from RefSeq and is a predicted model, not a curated record. Lineage: Eukaryota; Metazoa; Arthropoda; Insecta; Coleoptera; Chrysomelidae.